AUUGAACGCUGGCGGCAGGCCUAACACAUGCAAGUCGAGCGGAAACGAUGGGAGCUUGCUUCCAGGCGUCGAGCGGCGGACGGGUGAGUAACGCGUGAGAAUCUGCCCAUUAGUGGGGGAUAACUCGGGGAAACUCGAGCUAAUACCGCAUAAUCCCUACGGGGGAAAGCAGGGGACCUUCGGGCCUUGUGCUGAUGGAUGAGCUUGCGUCGGAUUAGCUUGUUGGUGAGGUAAAGGCUCACCAAGGCGACGAUCCGUAGCUGGUCUGAGAGGAUGACCAGCCACACUGGGACUGAGACACGGCCCAGACUCCUACGGGAGGCAGCAGUGGGGAAUCUUGGACAAUGGGGGCAACCCUGAUCCAGCCAUGCCGCGUGUGUGAAGAAGGCCUUCGGGUUGUAAAGCACUUUCAGCAGGGAGGAAGGCUUUGGGCUAAUACCCUGGAGUACUUGACGUUACCUGCAGAAGAAGCACCGGCUAAUUUCGUGCCAGCCGCCGCCGUAACAC
RNAcentral lists this ribosomal RNA (507 nucleotides) under uncultured bacterium. RNAcentral describes it as "bacterial SSU rRNA". It matches the Rfam family "Bacterial small subunit ribosomal RNA", at positions 30 to 526 of the family's 1533-position model. The record is from RNAcentral.